RNAcentral lists this ribosomal RNA (397 nucleotides) under uncultured bacterium. RNAcentral's name for it is "partial 16S ribosomal RNA". It matches the Rfam family "Bacterial small subunit ribosomal RNA", at positions 360 to 775 of the family's 1533-position model. The record is from RNAcentral.
AAUAUUGCACAAUGGAGGAAACUCUGAUGCAGCGACGCCGCGUGAACGAUGAAGGCCUUCGGGUCGUAAAGCUCUGUCCUAUGGGAAGAAACGGAUGGUGCCUUCGUAGGAAGCCCCGGCUAUCUACGUGCCAGCAGCCGCGGUAAUACGUAGGGGGCGAGCGUUAUCCGGAAUUAUUGGGCGUAAAGGGUGCGUAGGCGGCCUUUUAAGUCAGAUGUGAAAGGCUACGGCUUAACCGUAGUUAGCAUUUGAAACUAAAAGGCUUGAGUGCAGGAGAGGAGAGUGGAAUUCCUAGUGUAGCGGUGAAAUGCGUAGAUAUUAGGAGGAACACCAGUGGCGAAGGCGACUCUCUGGACUGCAACUGACGCUAAGGCACGAAAGCGUGGGGAGCGAACAG